CCUACGGGAGGCUGCAGUCGAGAAUCUUCCGCAAUGGGCGAAAGCCUGACGGAGCGACGCCGCGUGAUGGACGAAGUCCUUCGGGACGUAAACAUCUUUUAUGCGUGAGGAAGUUAUUGACGUUAGCGCAUGAAUAAGGGGCUCCUAACUCUGUGCCAGCAGGAGCGGUAAUACAGAGGCCCCAAGCAUUAUCCGGAAUCACUGGGCGUAAAGGGUGUGUAGGCGGCAGUAUUAGUCUUUCGUGAAAGACUUUCGGCUUAACCGAGAGGGCGCGGGGGAAACGGUACUGCUUAGAGGAUGCGAGAGGUGCAUGGAACUCAAGGUGUAGGGGUGAAAUCCGUUGAUAUCUUGGGGAACACCAAAUGCGAAGGCAAUGCACUGGCGCACUCCUGACGCUGAGACACGAAAGCGUGGGUAGCGAACGGGAUUAGAUACCCUUG
Molecule: ribosomal RNA, 440 nt
Filed under: uncultured bacterium
Lineage: Bacteria
Description: bacterial SSU rRNA
Rfam family: Bacterial small subunit ribosomal RNA
Source: RNAcentral